Thamnophis sirtalis is the source of this 830-nucleotide long non-coding RNA. RefSeq lists it as uncharacterized. Lineage: Eukaryota; Metazoa; Chordata; Lepidosauria; Squamata; Natricidae. The record is from RefSeq and is a predicted model, not a curated record.
ACAGACAGACAGACAGAGUUAAUUUGCUUGUGGAAAAGGCCAGCUAGUUUUUCUUCUUUUAAAGAAAACAACAUUAAGCCAUUUUUAGAGUAUGCAGUACAAUUUCCAUGUUCCUUCCAUCUGAAAAGGGUGGGAAAUCUUUCUCCUAAUUUUAGCAGUUAGAGCUGGAGUGUAUUCCAGAGGCUACAGAAAAGAGAUUUAGGGGUCACAAGCUUGUCAUCUUAGAUUUAAAAUACAUUCUAUGAAAUCAGAUUUGUUUUCAGAAGCAGCGGUUUGACUCUAUCCAUCAAUACCCAAUCUAGAAUUCCAAUCCAGUGGAAUUUCCAGCGUGGGGUGCCAUGGCCUAAAAGGAUUUGGAAACACUUGCAAUAGAGAUCCACAAAGCUAUAAAGAACGAUUGCUUUGUUUUGAGCCAGGUGUCUGGUCCAUCUUGUUCACCAGUGUCUACUUUAUAUCAAGAGGCAUCAGCUUAGACACUUGUCCUUGAUUUGCAAAUGCUGAGCCCUUUUAUAUGAAAACAAGUGCUGGGUCAUUCAGCUGCAAUGCAACUUUAAAGUUAUGGCUACGGUGAAACUGUCAAUCUUUCAGAUGUUCCAGAUUGAUAUCCUAUUUAUCCUCCACUGACUUCCAGGCAGCUCACAAGAAUAGCCAAGUUAAAACAUUACUCUGAAGUACAAAGAGAAAUUACAAAGCAGCAGCUCAGAAAACAACUGGAUAAAAAACAGCAGAAUUUGGAAAAUGUUUCGAAUCCUAGAAACCACCAGCAAUCCUCUAAGGCCCUCCAGAAAUGUAAAGUUGCACCAAUUCUUCAUAGAAGAAUGAUCUUGACU